This 484-nucleotide ribosomal RNA is filed under the name uncultured bacterium. RNAcentral describes it as "partial 16S ribosomal RNA". It matches the Rfam family "Bacterial small subunit ribosomal RNA", at positions 28 to 507 of the family's 1533-position model. The record is from RNAcentral.
AUUGAACGCUGGCGGCAUGCUUUACACAUGCAAGUCGAACGGCAGCGCGGGCUUCGGCCUGGCGGCGAGUGGCGAACGGGUGAGUAAUGCUUCGGAACGUGCCCAGUAGUGGGGGAUAGCCCGGCGAAAGCCGGAUUAAUACCGCAUACGACCUGAGGGUGAAAGCGGGGGACCGAAAGGCCUCGCGCUAUUGGAGCGGCCGAUGUCGGAUUAGCUAGUUGGUGGGGUAAAGGCUUACCAAGGCGACGAUCCGUAGCUGGUCUGAGAGGACGACCAGCCACACUGGGACUGAGACACGGCCCAGACUCCUACGGGAGGCAGCAGUGGGGAAUUUUGGACAAUGGGGGCAACCCUGAUCCAGCCAUGCCGCGUGCGGGAAGAAGGCCUUCGGGUUGUAAACCGCUUUUGUUCGGGAAGAAAUCCUCUGGGCUAAUACCCCGGGGGGAUGACGGUACCGGAAGAAUAAGCACCGGCUAACUACGUG